Molecule: non-coding RNA, 291 nt
Organism: Anas platyrhynchos (mallard)
Lineage: Eukaryota; Metazoa; Chordata; Aves; Anseriformes; Anatidae
Source: RefSeq, a predicted model, not a curated record
CAGCGUCGUCCCCAGCCUGAGCGUGAUGGAGGAGGAAGAGGAGGAAGAGGAGGAGGAGGAGGAGAGGGGAGGGGGCAGCAGCGAGGAGCCCCCCCCGCAGCUGGACCAGGUCCGGGACCUCUUUGACUCCACCGUCCUGGGAAUCGAGGACUGAGCGUGGAGCCGCAGCCGGAAGGCGUCGUUUCUGGUUUUGCCUGUUUUUCGCCGUUCUGAGCCCAAAAUGUUGGGGGUGCCAACCGCCACCCCGCACCCCCGCACCCCGUUUGGUUCAAUAAAGAGCGGGAUUGGCAA